Molecule: long non-coding RNA, 1105 nt
Filed under: Heterocephalus glaber (naked mole-rat)
Lineage: Eukaryota; Metazoa; Chordata; Mammalia; Rodentia; Bathyergidae
Description: lncRNA (ENSHGLG00000040979.1)
Source: RNAcentral
UGAAAAUCAGCACAGUGGAAGACAGCCUAACUCCAGUCUUGGUGCCAGAAUUGGCCCCAUCCUACCAAACCCUGAAUUUGUUUUGUCCACUAUGAACCACAUGCCAUUUGAACAGCACUUCGGUCACACAGACUCUUCUGUGCUCAAAGUGAGAUUCCAAGACCCAUGCUCUUAAUGAUAACCACACCAUUCCCCACUAUUCUUCAACACUGUGGUUUCUCUUUGGCUGUCUUACCCCACACUCCCUAUAACCAGGAGAGGGAACAUGUCCUGUGACAUGGACACUUGCUGUCGUAAACUGGCCCAACAGAGCCAGUCUACAUGCACCCAGGCUCUCCUGUGGCAGAAGGUGCCAUUAAAUUCUGCCGUUGGUCAGCACAUCCUGGGGCCUGCUAUGAGAGCCCUUUGGAAACGUGGGUCAGGUUGUGGACACUGGAUUCCCCCCACAUUGCAGAGAGCUCGGAGGCUGGUGCUGGGUUGAUUGAGCUCUGGAUGUGCCUUCAAACCCUUCUUUUAAGUUUACUUCAGUUGGGGGAAGUUUCACUCAGAAGUCAAGCCCCAUGAUUCAUGGCAGCAGAGCCUGCUAAGCGGAGCCAUAGAUCUUGAAUCCUUGGUUUCCAUUCAGAGUCAAGCGGAAAGGCAUAAGAACUUGAACCUCAUCUCAUGGAAGGAAAAGGUCAAGGGCAGGGCUGGAAGUUCACUACAAAAAGAGGAACUCAGCUUUUAUCUUCCAAAAAUAUAAGAUGUUUUCCACUCACAACCAAGAGCAGCAGUUUAUACAGCCCUUAAAUAUACAGAUAUUCUUCAUUUAACGACCCACCUCUUUAAUGGCUGCUAAGACUUACCAGCUGCUGCUCAGACUUAUGACCCACAUUUGGACUUACGACGAAGGAACAUGAGUGGCAGUAUGGUCUUAUGGUGGCUUCUUCUACACUACAGUAUGGUAAUUUUUGCUGAUGUACUGCACAGUACAGUACUGUAGUUUUAUAGUCUGUUGCAUAUUACAGCACUGCAUGUAAGAGUUAUGUAAAUAAAAGCAAAGUCACUAAUUUGGAGUUUCUGUUGACCAUUUCUUUGUUCUGAAUAUUGUGCUGUACAAUACAAU